This 497-nucleotide ribosomal RNA is filed under the name uncultured bacterium. Its description in RNAcentral is "partial 16S ribosomal RNA". It matches the Rfam family "Bacterial small subunit ribosomal RNA", at positions 28 to 507 of the family's 1533-position model. The record is from RNAcentral.
GAUGAACGCUGGCGGCGUGCCUAAUACAUGCAAGUCGAGCGAACAGACGCGGCUCUUGCUCCUCUGACGUUUGCCGCGGACGUGUGAGUCACACGUGUAUCAUCUACCUAUCAUUCUGGUAUCACCUCGGGACUCCGGCUCUUAUACCGUAUAAUCUAUUGCACCGCAUGGUUCAAUAGUGAAAGACGGUUUUGCUGUCACUUCUAGAUGCAUCCCGGCCGCAUUAGCUAGUUGUUAAGGUAACGGCUUACCAAGGCAACGAUGCGUAGCCGACGUGAGAGAGUGGUAGGCCACAUUGGAACUGGAACAGGGUCAAGGCGACUAAGAGAGGGAGCAGUAGGGAAUCGUCGGCAAUGGGCGAAAGCAUGACGGAGCAAGGGCGCGUGAGAGAUGAAGGUCUUCGGAUCGGAAAACUCUGUUAUUAGGGAAGAACAGAUGUGGAAGGAACUAUGGAGGUCGUGACGGUACCUAAUCAGAAAGCAACGGCUAACUACGUG